This 829-nucleotide long non-coding RNA is filed under the name Bemisia tabaci. RNAcentral's name for it is "lncRNA ENSASIAIIG009396". The record is from RNAcentral. Lineage: Eukaryota; Metazoa; Arthropoda; Insecta; Hemiptera; Aleyrodidae.
CUAUGACCCUCAUAAUAGGCGUAAGAGCCGCCUUUCCAGAAAUUCGACAACUCAAAUUCUGCGCAUAACCCGAGAUGAGCUCUUGGAAAGUGGUUCUUACCGUUGCCUCAAAGCUUAUGUUCAAAAACAGUCGGAUCAACAGCACAAAAAUGCCAACUUAAACGAAUCACAUUCGCAAGUUUUAGUGGAAAUCAAGAAUGCCAAAAAAAGUAUUGAAGAUAUCACUAGAUCAGGAAAACAAGCUUUGCAAGAGGAGACAAACACGAUCUCAGAGAUCGUGGACGAUAUUCAAGGAGAGCUCUCGUGUAACGCGGCGCGAAUGAGCUUAGCAGAGCGAUGGGAAGAUGCUCGAGAGCAGCAGAAUAUGUUCAAGUGUCAAAUGGAAGAGGCAAAAAUCGAGACGAAAGUUCAGGAAGCGGUCGCUGCCAUCGAUUCUGAACAUCGAGUUGACGCCGAGAUAGAAAACUACCUCCAUCUUGCUAUUGCGAAACUGAAAGAUGAGAUUGAAAAUUGGACGAAGCGGUAUGAUGAGGAAAUCGCCGAGCGUGAGGCUGAAUUGGCAUCCUUGAUGGAAACAAGGAACGCAGCAUUGGAGAAACUAGAGCGGUUAAAUUCAGAGUUUACGGGGCGGCAGAAGGAAAUAGAAGACUACUUGGCAACGAAAGAGGAUCUCAGGCGGUCUAAGGAGAGAGAAGAAUAUUUGAACAAGAUGGCGACGAAAAUUCAAGCUUGGUGGCGGGGCACAAUGGUACGAAGACAUUUAGGGCCUUACAAGUAUUUCAGUAAAAUAGCACGUCCUCCAAAAAAAGGGAAGGGGAAGAAAAAGUAA